UAGGAAUCUUCCACAAUGGACGCAAGUCUGAUGGAGCAACGCCGCGUGAGUGAAGAAGGUUUUCGGACCGUAAAGCUCUGUUGUUGGUGAAGAAGGAUAGAGGCAGUAACUGGCCUUUAUUUGACGGUAAUCAACCAGAAAGUCACGGCUAACUACGUGCCAGCAGCCGCGGUAAAUACGUAGGUGGCAAGCGUUGUCCGGAUUUAUUGGGCGUAAAGCGAGCGCAGGCGGAAGAAUAAGUCUGAUGUGA
RNAcentral lists this ribosomal RNA (250 nucleotides) under uncultured bacterium. Its description in RNAcentral is "partial 16S ribosomal RNA". It matches the Rfam family "Bacterial small subunit ribosomal RNA", at positions 356 to 597 of the family's 1533-position model. The record is from RNAcentral.